This 497-nucleotide ribosomal RNA is filed under the name uncultured bacterium. RNAcentral's name for it is "partial 16S ribosomal RNA". It matches the Rfam family "Bacterial small subunit ribosomal RNA", at positions 28 to 507 of the family's 1533-position model. The record is from RNAcentral.
GAUGAACGCUGGCGGCGUGCCUAAUACAUGCAAGUCGAGCGAACAGACGAGGAGCUUGCUCCUCUGACGUUAGCGGCGGACGGGUUAGUAACACGUGGAUAACCUACCUAUAAGACUGGGAUAACUUCGGGAAACCGGAGCUAAUACCGGAUAAUAUAUUGAACCGCAUGGUUCAAUAGUGAAAGACGGUUUUGCUGUCACUUAUAGAUGGAUCCGCGCCGCAUUAGCUAGUUGGUAAGGUAACGGCUUACCAAGGCAACGAUGCGUAGCCGACCUGAGAGGGUGAUCGGCCACACUGGAACUGAGACACGGUCCAGACUCCUACGGGAGGCAGCAGUAGGGAAUCUUCCGCAAUGGGCGAAAGCCUGACGGAGCAACGCCGCGUGAGUGAUGAAGGUCUUCGGAUCGUAAAACUCUGUUAUUAGGGAAGAACAAAUGUGUAAGUAACUAUGCACGUCUUGACGGUACCUAAUCAGAAAGCCACGGCUAACUACGUG